GGGCCCGCACAAGCAGUGGAGUAUGUGGUUUAAUUCGAAGCAACGCGAAGAACCUUACCAGGUCUUGACAUCCAACGAAUCCUGUGGAGACACGGGAGUGCCCUUCGGGGAACGGUGAGACAGGUGGUGCAUGGUUGUCGUCAGCUCGUGUCGUGAGAUGUUGGGUUAAGUCCCGCAACGAGCGCAACCCUUGUCAAUAGUUGCUACGCAAGAGCACUCUAUUGAGACUGCCGUUGACAAAACGGAGGAAGGUGGGGAUGACGUCAAAUCAUCAUGCCCCUUAUGACCUGGGCUACACACGUACUACAAUGGCCGCGAACAGAGGGAUGCAAGCGCGCGAGCGCAAGCGAACCCCAAAAAACGGUCUCAGUUCAGAUUGCAGGCUGCAACCCGCCUGCAUGAAGAUGGAAUUGCUAGUAAUCGCGGAUCAGCAUGCCGCGGUGAAUACGUUCCCGGGCCUUGUACACACCGCCCGUCACACCAUGAGAGCCGGUAACACCCGAAGUCGUUUGCGUAACCGUAAGGAGCGCGGCGCCGAAGGUGGGGUCGGUAAUUGGGGUGAAGUCGUAACAAGGUAGCCGUAUCGGAAGGUGCGGCU
RNAcentral lists this ribosomal RNA (598 nucleotides) under uncultured bacterium. RNAcentral's name for it is "bacterial SSU rRNA". It matches the Rfam family "Bacterial small subunit ribosomal RNA", at positions 917 to 1519 of the family's 1533-position model. The record is from RNAcentral.